This 503-nucleotide ribosomal RNA is filed under the name uncultured bacterium. RNAcentral describes it as "partial 16S ribosomal RNA". It matches the Rfam family "Bacterial small subunit ribosomal RNA", at positions 28 to 523 of the family's 1533-position model. The record is from RNAcentral.
GAUGAACGCUGGCGGCGUGCCUAAUACAUGCAAGUCGAACGAAGAUCUAGCCUGCUAGAUCUUAGUGGCGAACGGGUGAGUAAUACAUAAAUAAUCUGCCCAUAUGACUGGGAUAACUAUUGGAAACGAUAGCUAAUACCGGAUAGGUUGAUCGGAGGCAUCUCUGAUGAAUUAAAGUAGGAUUUCUACACACAUGGAUGAGUUUAUGGCGCAUUAGUUAGUUGGUGGGGUAACGGCCUACCAAGACGAUGAUGCGUAGCCGACCUGAGAGGGUGACCGGCCACACUGGGAAUGAGACACGGCCCAGACUCCUACGGGAGGCAGCAGUAGGGAAUUUUCGGCAAUGGGCGCAAGCCUGACCGAGCAACGCCGCGUGAGUGAUUAAGGCCUUCGGGUUGUAAAGCUCUGUUGUAAGGGAAGAACAUUCAGGAUAGGAAAUGAUCUUGAACUGACGGUACCUUACCAGAAAGCCACGGCUAACUACGUGCCAGCAGCCGCCGUAA